CAGUCGCCACGGUAAUACAGAGGGUGCGAGCGUUAAUCGGAUUUACUGGGCGUAAAGCGUGCGUAGGCGGCUUCUUAAGUCGGAUGUUAAAUCCCUGAGCUUAACUUAGGAAUUGCAUUCGAUACUGGGAAGCUAGAGUAUGGGAGAGGAUGGUAGAAUUCCAGGUGUAGCGGUGAAAUGCGUAGAGAUCUGGAGGAAUACCGAUGGCGAAGGCAGCCAUCUGGCCUAAUACUGACGCUGAGGUACGAAAGCAUGGGGAGCAAACAGGAUUAGAUACCCCCGUAGUCCCUGUCUCUUAUAC
This 301-nucleotide ribosomal RNA is filed under the name uncultured bacterium. RNAcentral describes it as "partial 16S ribosomal RNA". It matches the Rfam family "Bacterial small subunit ribosomal RNA", at positions 509 to 807 of the family's 1533-position model. The record is from RNAcentral.